RNAcentral lists this ribosomal RNA (429 nucleotides) under Bacillota bacterium. RNAcentral's name for it is "Firmicutes bacterium partial 16S ribosomal RNA". It matches the Rfam family "Bacterial small subunit ribosomal RNA", at positions 355 to 776 of the family's 1533-position model. Lineage: Bacteria; Bacillati; Bacillota. The record is from RNAcentral.
UGGGGAAUUUUGGACAAUGGGGGCAACCCUGAUCCAGCAAUGCCGCGUGUGUGAAGAAGGCCUUCGGGUUGUAAAGCACUUUUGUCCGGGAAGAAAUCCUUUUCGAGAAUACCGAAGGGGGAUGACGGUACCGGAAGAAUAAGCACCGGCUAACUACGUGCCAGCAGCCGCGGUAAUACGUAGGGUGCGAGCGUUAAUCGGAAUUACUGGGCGGAAAGCGUGCGCAGGCGGUGAUGUAAGACCGAUGUGAAAUCCCCGGGCUUAACCUGGGAACUGCGUUGGUGACUGCAUUGCUGGAGUAUGGCAGAGGGGGGUAGAAUUCCACGUGUAGCAAUGAAAUGCGUAGAGGUGUGGAGGAAUACCGAUGGCGAAGGCAGCCCCCUGGGCCAAUACUGACGCUCAUGCACGAAUGCGUGGGGAGCAAACAGG